CAGCAGCCGCGGGAAUACGAAGGGUGCAAGCGUUAAUCGGAAUUACUGGGCGUAAAGGGUGCGUAGGCGGGAGGGCACGUCCGUCGCUGAAAUCCCCCGGCUCAACCGGGGAACGGGCGCGGAUACGACUCUUCUGGAGGAACGUAGGGGGACCUGGAACUUCCGGUGGAGCGGUGAAAUGCGUUGAGGUCGGAAGGAACGCCCGUGGCGAAAGCGAGGUCCUGGACGUUUACUGACGCUGAGACGCGAAAGCCAGGGGAGCGAACGGAAUUAGAGACCCCAGUAGUCCCUGUCUCUUAUA
This 301-nucleotide ribosomal RNA is filed under the name uncultured bacterium. Its description in RNAcentral is "partial 16S ribosomal RNA". It matches the Rfam family "Bacterial small subunit ribosomal RNA", at positions 509 to 807 of the family's 1533-position model. The record is from RNAcentral.